GCUUGCAUCUACAUCGCCUUGGGUUUUGAUCUCAGAUCUCCUCAUCUAAGCAGGAUCAAGCUUGGUCAGUAAUUGUAUGGGAAUCCUCUAAGGAAAACUCAGGUGUUGCAGGAA
This is a ribosomal RNA of Chelonoidis abingdonii (Abingdon island giant tortoise), 114 nucleotides long. NCBI's taxonomy places the organism in Eukaryota, Metazoa, Chordata, Testudines, Testudinidae. The record is from Ensembl.